GAUAGUAAUGUGAAUUGCAGAAUUCAGUGAAUCAUCGAAUCUUUGAACGCACCUUGCGCUCCCUGGUAUUCCGGGGAGCACGCCUGUUCGAGUGUCAUGAAACUCUCAAGCAAGAUAGAUUUGUUUCUAUCUCUGUUUGGAUUUGGACUUUGCUGUGUCAAUGCAGCUGGUCUUAAAUGCAUUAGCUGGUCCUGACGAAGGUUUGGUUCUACUCAGCGUGAUAAUUAUCUAACGUUGAGGACAGUUCUCUUGGACUGGCCAGGCUCUCUUUGGAUUGCUUCUAAUCAUCUUCGGAUAAUUGCUUAAUAUCUGACCUCGAAUCAGGUGGGACUACCCGCUGAACUUAAGCAUAUCAAUAAGCGGAGGAAAAGAAACUAACAAGGAUUCCCCUAGUAACGGCGAGUGAAGCGGGAUGAGCUCAAAUUUAAAAUCUGGUAGUCUUUGGCUGCCCGAGUUGUAAUCUAGAGAAGUGUUUUCCGCGCUGGACUGUGUACAAGUUUCCUGGAUAUGGAACAUCAUAGAGGGUGAGAAUCCCGUCCUUGACACAGACUCCCAGUGCUCUGUGAUGCGCUCUCAACGAGUCGAGUUGUUUGGGAUUGCAGCUCAAAAUGGGAGGUAAAUUCCUUCUAAAGCUAAAUAUUGGCGAGAGACCGAUAGCGAACAAGUACCGUGAGGGAAAGAUGAAAAGCACUUUGGAAAGAGAGUUAAACAGUACGUGAAAUUGUUAAAAGGGAAACGAUUGAAGUCAGUCACAUCUACUUGGAUUCAGCCUUACUUUAGUUUGGUGCAUUUCCUUGUGGAUGGGCCAGUGUCCAUGUUGAUUGCUGGAAAAGGUUCAAAGGAAUGUGACUCUUUUAGAGUGUUAUAGCCUUGGUUCAUAUACAGUGGUUGAUAUGGAGUGGUACAGCAUGCUUCGGUGGUGCUUGUGCUGGCAUAAUG
Molecule: ribosomal RNA, 939 nt
Filed under: uncultured Sistotrema
Lineage: Eukaryota; Fungi; Basidiomycota; Agaricomycetes; Corticiales; Corticiaceae
Description: eukaryotic LSU rRNA
Rfam family: Eukaryotic large subunit ribosomal RNA (bases 311-939)
Source: RNAcentral